Molecule: unclassified non-coding RNA, 102 nt
Organism: Rhinopithecus bieti (black snub-nosed monkey)
Lineage: Eukaryota; Metazoa; Chordata; Mammalia; Primates; Cercopithecidae
Rfam family: Y RNA
About the family: Y RNAs are components of the Ro ribonucleoprotein particle (Ro RNP), in association with Ro60 and La proteins. The Y RNAs and Ro60 and La proteins are well conserved, but the function of the Ro RNP is not known.
Source: Ensembl
GGCUAGUCCAAAUGCAGUGGUGUUUACAACUAAUUGAUCACAACAAGCUACAGAUUUAUGUAUUCCUUCUCCACUUCCACUGCUUCACUUGACUAGCCUUUA